Aotus nancymaae (Ma's night monkey) is the source of this 3677-nucleotide long non-coding RNA. The record is from Ensembl. NCBI's taxonomy places the organism in Eukaryota, Metazoa, Chordata, Mammalia, Primates, Aotidae.
UCGCUGGGAACACCUCUACCAGCAGCAGGAAGAGACAAUGAGGGAACACAAGAUGAUGAUGGUGGAUUGGGAGGAGAAAAUACUGCAGGAGGAACUAAAGAUGCGGGAGCAGGAAGAGACAAUGAGGGAACACAAGAAGAUGGUGGAUUGGGAGGAGAAAAUACUGCAGGAGGAACUAAACAUGCGGCAGCAGGAAGAGACAAUGAGGGAACACCAGCGGAUGAUACAAAGGCGAGAGGAGAAGAUUCAGGAGGAGGAACAGAAGAUUCAGGAGGAGGAAAAGAAAAGGCUGUGGGAUGCGAAGGAACAACUGAGGGAGCAGGAGAAGAAAAUACAGCAGAAGAGACAAUGAGGGAACACAAGAAGAUGAUGGUGGAUUGGGAGGAGAAAAUACUGCAGGAGGAACUAAACAUGCGGCAGCAGGAAGAGACAAUGAGGGAACACCAGCGGAUGAUGCAAAGGCGAGAGGAGAAGAUUCAGGGACGGGAAAAGAAGAUUCAGGAGCAGGAGGAAAAGAUUUGGGAGGAGAAGAGGCGUCAGGAGGAGAAAAAGAUUCAGCAGGAAAAGAAGCGGAGGGAGCAGGAGAUGUGGGAGAAGGAGGGGAGGCAGGAGCAAGUGGAGAAGAGGGGAGAGCAGGACGACAUGAUGUGGGAGAAGAACAUGUGGGAGGAGUACAGGCUGUGGAAAUAGGAGAAGACAAUGCAGGAGUAGAAUUGUAAAAUACUGGCUGGGUGCGGUCGUAAAAUACGGUUAAUAUCAAAUUUACCAUUUUAAUAAAAGUUAUUUUAAAGUUUCUACCUGAGGACUCUCAUAUCUAUGUAUGUUUCUAUUGUCUUUUUUAUCUCUUGGUCUUUCUCUUUUAGUCUUGCCUGAUGGCAUGCCUAGUAAACUUUCAUCUGCCUCCAGAGUGUAUUGACUUUGACUCUAUGGCACACAAUCUGAGUAAGGGCAGAUCACUUUCAUCUAAUUUGGGACACUAAGCUGGUUCAAAGCAGAUUUUAGGUUUUGUGACAGCUGGUCUAAUUUUUAUCCAUUUGGGCUCCUAGGGGCGACCCUUCCAGGGUCACCACCAAGGCCCCAACUCCUUACUGGGACCCAAGUUCUCAUGAAGUCAUUUGAGCCCUGUGAGAGUGCCAGACAUUCAGCUCGGCUUUCCAGCCUCUUAACUAUGCCUUCAUAGUCGGUUUCUUAGCCUCUUGGCCCUAUGCCGUUUACCAGUCACCAAAUGUGGGGAAAAGACCUACAGACUGUCGGGGCCACCUCCAAGGCCAGGUCACUCAAGUCCUCGCUGAGGUCUCUAGUUACCUUCCAACAAUUGUUUUUCGUGGGGGUGGGGGCACAGUUUUUCUAACUGUCCAGUUUCUCUAACUGUUCUUGUGAAGAGAAGUUGAAAAUCUCCUCCUGUCUUUAUUUAUUUAUUUAUUAUUUUUAACAGAGUCUCACUCUGUUGCCCAGGCUCUAGUGCAGUGGUGUGAUCUGGGCUCAAUGUAACCUCGGACUGCUGGGUUCAAGCAGUUCUCCUGCCUCAGCCUCUCCAGUAGCUGGGAUCACAGGUGUGUUGGCACUGCCUGGCUAGUUUUUGUAUUUUUAGUUCCACCGUGUUGGCUAGGGUGAUCUCGAGCUUCUGACUCAGGUGACCUACCUGCCCUGGCCUCCUAAAGUGCUGAGAUGAUAGGUGUGCACCACCAUCUCUUUUAAUAAAUGUUUUUGGCUGGGUGCGGUGUCUGAUGCCUGUAAUCCCAGCACUUUGUGAGGCUGAGGCANNNNNNNNNNNNNNNNNNNNNNNNNNNNNNNNNNNNNNNNNNNNNNNNNNNNNNNNNNNNNNNNNNNNNNNNNNNNNNNNNNNNNNNNNNNNNNNNNNNNCGCUGCCGUCCCGUGGAGUCGCCGCCUGCUCCGAAAGCAGUCCACGUAACUGGACAACUACAGGUUCCUUUACACAAGUCCAAUAAUCACAUCUUCUUUAUAUACUCACAGUGAGGCUUUUUUAUUUUUUAGAAGGCAGCCUUUCAAACGUGUUUAUUAGAAUGCACGCUGACUCUGCUAUAAUUUAAAGAAAACACAGCUAUGCUGACAUCCACUGCCCUCAUUACCAUGUGUUUCUUCCCCAAAGUUUUGUCAAACUUUCAAAAAAUCCUUUUCCAAAUAGUUAUUCACAGCUAACUGCCCAUCAGACCAAGGUCCCCAGGCUUUUAGAGACACUUCCAUUGUGAAAUGGACGGCAGCCCCCACCCCAGCCACCAGGCCACCCACCACUGGCCACGGCAGUGUGUGAGCAGCAGCGCCCCCACGUCUUUGCCACUGUCCUGCUGGUCUGAGUAUACCCCUGAGGAUCGACAGGCUCUCCCACAGACACUGCCCCACCAUGAGCAGAUCCAGGGCAGCAGGGUAGAAAUGGACUCUCUUCUAGGGUGGGAGUAGGGGAGUCUUCUGUGAAACAUCAGUGGCCAAUCAGCCCUCAGAAAGACUUCACUCCUGAGUCUGAGGGGUGAGCAUAAGAGUGGCCGGAGCAUUCACACAACAUGCUUCAUAACUGGACCAGUGAAGUGCUCAGCCACCAUUAGAACUGCAAGGCACCCACCCCUCCCACCCCCUCGCUUCAGCAUCUGCGAGGCCUCUACCAGGAGGUUCCUUGCUCUCAGGCCCCUCUGCUCCCUUCUCUGGGACAGCCAGGGUCCUACCUGCUCGUGAGGCCACUUCGGCCUCUCCUCUGGGGUCCUGGUGUUGGGAUUGAAGCCUCUCUGGGGAUCUCCGCGGUGCUUGGCCUUGGAAGGGAGGUUCACAGUGACUUGGCCCUUGUCUCGUGCCUGCUGGGGCCUUGCUGGCAAGGCAGGCCUCUGCAGAAUCCCCAGGCCCUGGCUCAGGCCCAUGCUCAGGGCCGGCCUCAUUGGCGCUGGUGAUGCUCAUCGUGCUCAGGCUCAUCUUGAUUGCGGCCACGAUCUGGUCGAUGUCCUCCUCCUGGUCCUCCAGGUCCCCAUCCCCACACCUCAGGCAAUAGGGGGAGGUGCCAGUGUUCCCGUUGGCCUCUGCCAGGUAGUAGUCCUGGGGACAGUGAGGGCCAUCUUCUUCCUGGUCACGGGCCUCUAGGACGGAGGGCUCAAACUCCCGGAUGGGCAGGUAGUGAUCCAGGUAGUCCUGGCUGCCUUCAGCCCUGUGGCCCUGGGGGUGUGGGCCUGCCGAGUCCGUCCAUUACUCCACUGAUGGCCUCCUGGCACUCGUCGCCAUCCACUGCAUGCACGCUGUGUGGGCCAGGUACUCCUCUCCGUUGCAGUCCAUGCCCUCCAGGUAGCCGUCAUCCUCGGGGCAGUAGUGGACUUAGUAGGUGAUGCCCUCUCCUCCUCCUCAGAAGGGCCCUCGUCAUAGUCCUCCCUCCCUGGAGGUGUUGUUCAUGUAGUUGGAGCUGGAGUCCCCAUCGGGGCUGUGGUUGUCGCACUCCUGUUCUUUGGGCAUGGAGCUCUCUGGCCACAGGGUGGCCAGCUCCAGGCCCUCAGGUACAUGGCCUCCAAUGGCAGCUCCACGUCCUUGCUCUUGGGCUCCUGGCACUGUGGGACCAGGCCUGGCCUUGCCCUGUGGUCCAACAUGCCGCUCCCCACACUCUCACACUUCUGGUGGGCCAUGGUGGGCACUCACACAGUCGUCAUCUCCCGGAGGGAACCACAGCAGAAAGGAACACUGGGAAG